CGAGGAAUUCUGCAGAUGCUGGAAAUUCAAGCAGCACACAUCAAAGUUGCUGGUGAACGCAGCAGGCCAGGCAGUAUCUCUAGGAAGAGGUACAGUCGAUGUUUCAGGCCGAUACCCUUCGUCAGGACUAACUGAAGGAAGAAAAGAAUAUGUGAUUAAGAAAAAGGAAGAAAUCAAAAGAAGACAAAAUAUAUUUGUUAAAUUAAGAUGCUGCCUGACCUGCAAAGUCUUUUGUUUGAAGAAUUUUAUUAGACAACUCAACAGCCUCGGUGGCUGUUACUUACUGAUACUUAUAAUCAUAAUGCUAUGACAACAUAGAUUCUGUCAAAUAUCCAGCAAUCUAUUUACCAAUGAUGGUACAAAACAAAGCUUCCCCUAUAGCAGCCUGAUACAUCAAUUUAUAUCAUAUUCUGUCCAGAAAAGCUAUAACAAAAGAGGAAAUAAUGGUUGGUGGAUUGAAUUACUUGCUUCUAAGUAUUAACGUACUUUUAGAUUUUUUAAUCUUUGUUUCAAUGAGGAGCCAAACAUUUUGUUCUAAUUUUACUCUGUUCAUAAUUUCAAUGUACGAAAAACAUUUUCCCUCGAAGUUAAUAAUGCCUUCCUUCCAUUUCAGUAUAAUAAAUUAUGCCUCGUCAUGAAAUAUAAUGCUAUAAUGGUGACUCAGAUUUAAAUAAAAUACAAUGUAUGUUAACAAAUUCACAUAUCAAGUAUAAAGAUAGUGUGCUUGUUGGUUAUGAAGUGGUACCAGAGCAGUGUCAUGCACAGGCAUCUUCCUUGAGAUGGAACUUCAGUAAUAGACAGUAAAUCUAAAAAAGAUUACUUUGCUGCAUUUGUAAACUGAUUCUGUUGUCCAGUACAAGUUAACAGACAAAUGUAGCA
Mobula hypostoma (lesser devil ray) is the source of this 879-nucleotide long non-coding RNA. RefSeq lists it as uncharacterized. The transcript has 3 exons. The record is from RefSeq and is a predicted model, not a curated record. Lineage: Eukaryota; Metazoa; Chordata; Chondrichthyes; Myliobatiformes; Myliobatidae.